Molecule: transfer RNA, 67 nt
Filed under: Proteus anguinus (olm)
Lineage: Eukaryota; Metazoa; Chordata; Amphibia; Caudata; Proteidae
Description: tRNA-Trp
Rfam family: tRNA
About the family: Transfer RNA (tRNA) molecules are approximately 80 nucleotides in length. Their secondary structure includes four short double-helical elements and three loops (D, anti-codon, and T loops). Further hydrogen bonds mediate the characteristic L-shaped molecular structure. tRNAs have two regions of fundamental functional importance: the anti-codon, which is responsible for specific mRNA codon recognition, and the 3' end, to which the tRNAs corresponding amino acid is attached (by aminoacyl-tRNA synthetases). tRNAs cope with the degeneracy of the genetic code in two manners: having more than one tRNA (with a specific anti-codon) for a particular amino acid; and 'wobble' base-pairing, i.e. permitting non-standard base-pairing at the 3rd anti-codon position.
Source: RNAcentral
AAAGACUUAGGUUAAUAGACCAAGAGCCUUCAAAGCCCUAAGUAAGAGUGAAACCCUCUUAAUCUUU